GAUGCCAAGGCCAAAGACUUCCGGCAUGUUUCGUGCUCGCACGAAAACCUGCCGGAGUCUGGGGCCUGCCCCCUUAUGAGGAAGAAGCGAUUUCCAGAGGAAAUCUGCGGAUUCCGAAUAAGGGGAGAAUUGCGGGAGCAGCGUUAGCUGCGGAGCAAUUCGAAAGGC
Molecule: small RNA, 168 nt
Filed under: human gut metagenome
Description: Clostridiales-1 RNA
Rfam family: Clostridiales-1 RNA
Source: RNAcentral